Molecule: ribosomal RNA, 235 nt
Filed under: uncultured bacterium
Lineage: Bacteria
Description: partial 16S ribosomal RNA
Rfam family: Bacterial small subunit ribosomal RNA
Source: RNAcentral
UUUUUUUUCGGUUCUUAUUUGUGUGGAAUUUUGCACAAUGGGCGAAAGCCUGAUGCAGCAACGCCGCGUGAAGGAAGAAGGGUUUCGGCUCGUAAACUUCUAUCAACAGGGACGAAAGAAAUGACGGUACCUGAAUAAGAAGCCCCGGCUAACUACGUGCCAGCAGCCGCGGUAAUACGUAGGGGGCAAGCGUUAUCCGGAAUUACUGGGUGUAAAGGGUGAGUAGGCGGCAUGG